GGUGGAUGCCCUGGCAGUCAGAGGCGAUGAAGGACGUGCUACGCUGCGAAAAGCGUCGGUAAGGUGAUAUGCACCGUUAUAACCGGCGAUGUCCGAAUGGGGAAACCCAGUGCACUUCGUUGCACUCUCGUUAACUGAAUACAUAGGUUAACGAGGCGAACCGGGGGAACUGAAACAUCUAAGUACCCCGAGGAAAAGAAAUCAACCGAGAUUCCCCCAGUAGCGGCGAGCGAACGGGGAGCAGCCCAGAGUCUGAAUCAGCUUGUGUGUUAGUGGAACGGUCUGGAAAGUCCGACGGUACAGGGUGAUAGUCCCGUACACCAAAAUGCACAGGCUGUGAACUCGAAGAGUAGGGCGGGACACGUGGUAUCCUGUCUGAAUAUGGGGGGACCAUCCUCCAAGGCUAAAUACUCCUGACUGACCGAUAGUGAACCAGUACCGUGAGGGAAAGGCGAAAAGAACCCCGGCGAGGGGAGUGAAAAAGAACCUGAAACCGUGUACGUACAAGCAGUGGGAGCACCUUCGGGUGUGACUGCGUACCUUUUGUAUAAUGGGUCAGCGACUUAUAUUCUGUAGCAAGGUUAACCGUAUAGGGGAGCCGCAGGGAAACCGAGUCUUAACUGGGCGUUAAGUUGCAGGGUAUAGACCCGAAACCCGGUGAUCUAGCCAUGGGCAGGUUGAAGGUUGGGUAACACUAACUGGAGGACCGAACCGACUAAUGUUGAAAAAUUAGCGGAUGACUUGUGGCUGGGGGUGAAAGGCCAAUCAAACCGGGAGAUAGCUGGUUCUCCCCGAAAGCUAUUUAGGUAGCGCCUCGUGAAUUCAUCUUCGGGGGUAGAGCACUGUUUCGGCUAGGGGGUCAUCCCGACUUACCAACCCGAUGCAAACUACGAAUACCGAAGAAUGUUAUCACGGGAGACACACGGCGGGUGCUAACGUCCGUCGUGAAGAGGGAAACAACCCAGACCGCCAGCUAAGGUCCCAAAGUCAUGGUUAAGUGGGAAACGAUGUGGGAAGGCACAGACAGCCAGGAUGUUGGCUUAGAAGCAGCCAUCAUUUAAAGAAAGCGUAAUAGCUCACUGGUCGAGUCGGCCUGCGCGGAAGAUGUAACGGGGCUAAACCAUGCACCGAAGCUGCGGCAGCGACACUAUGUGUUGUUGGGUAGGGGAGCGUUCUGUAAGCCUGCGAAGGUGUGCUGUGAGGCAUGCUGGAGGUAUCAGAAGUGCGAAUGCUGACAUAAGUAACGAUAAAGCGGGUGAAAAGCCCGCUCGCCGGAAGACCAAGGGUUCCUGUCCAACGUUAAUCGGGGCAGGGUGAGUCGACCCCUAAGGCGAGGCCGAAAGGCGUAGUCGAUGGGAAACAGGUUAAUAUUCCUGUACUUGGUGUUACUGCGAAGGGGGGACGGAGAAGGCUAUGUUAGCCGGGCGACGGUUGUCCCGGUUUAAGCAUGUAGGCUGGUUGUCCAGGCAAAUCCGGAUAAUCAAGGCUGAGGUGUGAUGACGAGGCACUACGGUGCUGAAGUAACAAAUGCCCUGCUUCCAGGAAAAGCCUCUAAGCAUCAGGUAACAUUAAAUCGUACCCCAAACCGACACAGGUGGUCAGGUAGAGAAUACCAAGGCGCUUGAGAGAACUCGGGUGAAGGAACUAGGCAAAAUGGUGCCGUAACUUCGGGAGAAGGCACGCUGGUGUGUAGGUGAAGUCCCUGCGGAUGGAGCUGAGACCAGUCGAAGAUACCAGCUGGCUGCAACUGUUUAUUAAAAACACAGCACUGUGCAAACACGAAAGUGGACGUAUACGGUGUGACGCCUGCCCGGUGCCGGAAGGUUAAUUGAUGGGGUUAUCCGUAAGGAGAAGCUCUUGAUCGAAGCCCCGGUAAACGGCGGCCGUAACUAUAACGGUCCUAAGGUAGCGAAAUUCCUUGUCGGGUAAGUUCCGACCUGCACGAAUGGCGUAAUGAUGGCCAGGCUGUCUCCACCCGAGACUCAGUGAAAUUGAACUCGCUGUGAAGAUGCAGUGUACCCGCGGCAAGACGGAAAGACCCCGUGAACCUUUACUAUAGCUUGACACUGAACAUUGAGCCUUGAUGUGUAGGAUAGGUGGGAGGCUUUGAAGCGUGGACGCCAGUCUGCGUGGAGCCAACCUUGAAAUACCACCCUUUAAUGUUUGAUGUUCUAACGUUGGCCCCUUACCGGGGUUGCGGACAGUGUCUGGUGGGUAGUUUGACUGGGGCGGUCUCCUCCCAAAGCGUAACGGAGGAGCACGAAGGUUAGCUAAUCCUGGUCGGACAUCAGGAGGUUAGUGCAAUGGCAUAAGCUAGCUUGACUGCGAGCGUGACGGCGCGAGCAGGUGCGAAAGCAGGUCAUAGUGAUCCGGUGGUUCUGAAUGGAAGGGCCAUCGCUCAACGGAUAAAAGGUACUCCGGGGAUAACAGGCUGAUACCGCCCAAGAGUUCAUAUCGACGGCGGUGUUUGGCACCUCGAUGUCGGCUCAUCACAUCCUGGGGCUGAAGUAGGUCCCAAGGGUAUGGCUGUUCGCCAUUUAAAGUGGUACGCGAGCUGGGUUUAGAACGUCGUGAGACAGUUCGGUCCCUAUCUGCCGUGGGCGCUGGAGAAUUGAGGGGGGCUGCUCCUAGUACGAGAGGACCGGAGUGGACGCAUCACUGGUGUUCGGGUUGUCAUGCCAAUGGCACUGCCCGGUAGCUAAAUGCGGAAGAGAUAAGUGCUGAAAGCAUCUAAGCACGAAACUUGCCCCGAGAUGAGUUCUCCCUGAGACUUUAAGUCUCCUGAAGGAACGUUAAAGACGAUGACGUUGAUAGGCCGGGUGUGUAAGCGCAGCGAUGCGUUGAGCUAACCGGUACUAAU
This 2860-nucleotide ribosomal RNA is filed under the name Klebsiella pneumoniae. RNAcentral describes it as "23S ribosomal RNA". It matches the Rfam family "Bacterial large subunit ribosomal RNA". The record is from RNAcentral. Lineage: Bacteria; Pseudomonadati; Pseudomonadota; Gammaproteobacteria; Enterobacterales; Enterobacteriaceae.